GAUGAAGAACGUAGCAAAAUGCGAUACUUGGUGAGAAUUGCAGAAUCCCGUGAACCAUCGAGUUUUUGAACGCAAGUUGCGCCCGAAGCCUUUUGGCCGAGGGCACGUCUGCCUGGGCGUCACGCAUCGCGUCGCCCCCCACAAUUCUCCGUAAAGGGAACAUGUGUUUUGGGGGCGGAUAUUGGUCUCCCGUGCUCAUGGCGUGGUUGGCCGAAAUAGGAGUCCUUUCGAUGGACGCACGAACUAGUGGUGGUCGUAAAAACCCUCGUCUUUUGUUUCGUGCUGUUGGUCGCAAGGUAAACUCUUUAAAAACCCCAAUGUGUCGUCUCUUGACGACGCUUCGACCGCGACCCCAGGUCAGGCGGGACUACCCGCUUAGUUUAAGCAUAUCAAUAAGCGAAGGA
RNAcentral lists this unclassified non-coding RNA (404 nucleotides) under soil metagenome. Its description in RNAcentral is "partial contains 5.8S ribosomal RNA, internal transcribed spacer 2, and large subunit ribosomal RNA". The stretch from base 1 to 122 matches the Rfam family "5.8S ribosomal RNA", at positions 35 to 154 of the family's 154-position model. The record is from RNAcentral.